This 864-nucleotide ribosomal RNA is filed under the name Triticum aestivum (bread wheat). RNAcentral describes it as "partial small subunit ribosomal RNA". The record is from RNAcentral. Lineage: Eukaryota; Viridiplantae; Streptophyta; Magnoliopsida; Poales; Poaceae.
AUGACUCAGCCGCUCGUCUACCGCCCCGACGAUGACCUUAAGAAGGAUCUAAUGAACACGGCCAUCGACGGCAACCUUGGUCUCCUCAAAGGUAUUAUAAAGAAUCUUACCAAAGAAAAGGGUGACCCAUCGGCGAUUUUUUCUUUCAACAUCAAAGGAUAUUCUGUGUUGCACACGGCGGCAUGUUUUGCGCAACUGGAGGUUUGCAAGUAUUUGGUGGAGGAGCUUAAUGGAGAUGUAAAUGCUCCUGGAUAUGGAGCUGGUGCUCUAGGGGGUGCAACUCCAUUUAUGUUGUCAGCCUCGUCUGAUGAUGUUGCUACCGUCAAGUAUUUUCUUGAUCAUGGUGGUGAUAUAUUGAAAGCAGAUGACAAAGGACGCACAGUUCUCCACCAUGCUGUGGCUGCAGGAUGCUGCAAGGUGACAGAGUUCCUCCUUUCAAAAGUAGUUCCAGUCGACAUAAACUAUGGCCAUGGAACACCAGCAUUCGUGGCUGCUGCAAAUGGGAAGGAUAACACACUGAAGAUUUUGUUGGAUCACAACGCAAAUCCUAAUAUCAUUGUCACCAGUUUGGGAAGUCCGUUGUUUAUGGCUCUUACUCAGCGUUCACUCAAAUGCAUGGAGACACUCGUUGAGGCUGGUGCCGAUAUUAACUGCAAGGGUUGCGCCAUGUCUCCAUUGGUAUAUGCUACAAUGCGAGAAGGUUGUACCAACUUCAUUCGGUUUCUGUUGAAGGCUGGAGCAGAUCCUAAUACCCUCGAUGAUUUGGGUAGGUUGCCGGUAGUGCUUGCUGCAGUACGUGAUUGCAUGGAAGAGGUUGAAAUGCUGUUUCCUUUAACUUCCCCAAUUCCAAAUGUCCCAAACUAG